CCUCAGCUCUUCGUUUUCCCUUCUCGAACUCCAGUCUCAAAGGGAAAGCCGUAAACCUGCUUCUGAGUCUCAGUUUCCCCUCUGGGGUUGAAAACAACCAGCAGCCUGCAGGCUUGGCCGUGUUCCUGCUUCUCAACAACAGUUUAGGGGAAUAUACGGUCAGAGCUCUCAGGGCACCUUGAUGGGCUGAUAGUCACGAAGCACGGAACUAAAACAGUCUCCUGGCUACUAAAGGACAAGUUGACGUUUCAGAAGGAGAGUGCUACUCACAUCAGUUGAAUAGAGGCCAGGGAUGCUCUCACCAUGCACAGGACAGCCCCCCAUGAUAAAGAAUCAUCUGGCCCAAAGGUCAAUAAUGCUGAAAAACUGGAAUGCAAGGAUAUGAAGAUGAAGUAAACACACAGAAUCACUUAGCAUUGACUUGUACCGAUUCACAAUAUUCAGGAACAAAUCUGAGCUUUUCUGACCUUAAAGUUCUUGGAAAAGAGACCAGACCUGCAUCAAUUACAAUAAACGAGAGCAAUCACAAAGCAUAUGUGCUCCUUCUUUUAAUUUUAGUGAUAUGAAUAAGGCAUUUUGGAGGAAAACAACCCACAGGCUAGGUGUAAGUCCCAUGGAUAAGUCCAUGGCCACUCAUCUGUGCUGCCACCUCCAGCAGAUUAUACAAGAACCCAAGAAAAAGAAUUUAUCCUUCUAUGUUAAAGAAGCAACAGAAUUGGACAGAUGAGACAAGCCAUAGAAAUGCCAUGCCAUGGACUCAAGAAUGAUUUUGUAUCAGACUUCAAAGAUCAUACAGCAUUUCCAGAUUUCUUAACAUCAACAGCUGAAGGAAAAAUGAUGAAAACUGCAGAAAUGUAUAUUACCAUGCUGAUCUGAUGUUUGAUGGCUUGUAGAGUCCCCCUGGUACGUAGUUGUAUAUUCUUCGUUGUGGGUCCUUCCAGUUGUGGCAUGUGGGACGCCGCCUCAGCGUGGUUUGAUGAGCAGUGCCAUGUCCCCGCCCAGGAUUCGAACCAACGAAACACUGGGCCGCCUGCGGCAGAGCGCGCGGACUUAAC
RNAcentral lists this long non-coding RNA (1055 nucleotides) under Equus caballus (horse). Its description in RNAcentral is "lncRNA (ENSECAG00000040456.3)". The record is from RNAcentral. Lineage: Eukaryota; Metazoa; Chordata; Mammalia; Perissodactyla; Equidae.